Molecule: long non-coding RNA, 1603 nt
Filed under: Strigops habroptila (Kakapo)
Lineage: Eukaryota; Metazoa; Chordata; Aves; Psittaciformes; Psittacidae
Description: lncRNA (ENSSHBG00005018169.1)
Source: RNAcentral
GGAGCGGCCGCGGGGCAGGGACGGGCCCGCCGGUACGGCAGCGGCGUCGCAGCCGCUGGUUCAUCCUGAGGGCCCGAGAGGCGGGUACAAGGCUGGUGGGAGAGCGGCUGGAAAGCUGCUCGGCGGAAAAGGACCUGGGGGUGCAGAUUGAUAGAGCUGAGCAUGAGCCAGCUUGUGCCCAGGCAGCCAAGGCGGCCAACAGCAUCCUGGCCUGUAUCAGAACUAGUGUGGCCAGCAGGGCCAGGGCAGUGAUUUUCCCUUUGUACUCAGUACUGGUGAGGCCGCACCUCGAAUCCUGUGUUCAGCUCUGGGCCCCUCACUGCAAGAGAGACGUUGAGGUGCUGGAGCAGGUCCAGAAAAGGCAACGAAGCUGGUGAAGGGUCUGGAGCACAAGUCUGAUGAGGAACGGCUGAGGGAACUGAGCUUUUUAUUCUGGAGAAGUGAUAAGGGGGACCUUGUCACUCUCUGCAACUACCUGAAAGGAGGAUGGAGAGAGGUGGGGGUCUGUCUCUUCUCCCAGGUAACAAGUGACAGGACAAGAGGACUCCUUCGCAUUGAGAAGAGAGAAAUAAUAAACCUACCAGAUGUCAGUCCUUCUAACUUAGACAGUUCCUAGCACAACACUGCCUCUCGCUGCUAAACCUAGUCUUAGAUGGAAGCAGAACCAUUCCUAGCCACCUGUAGCAGCUCCCUGGUGCCAAAAGAGACUGGCCAUCCUGACAGCUGCAAUGCCCAUUCCCAGACACUCAGCAGAAUGAGACCAGCCCUCUCAACAGUAGCUGCUUACUAGCUUGGACCUAGCAAACAUGCAACCUUGCAAACACUGACAUCUAUAGGAAGAAUACCUGUCUGACCUACCAUCCUGGUUUGGGCUGAGAUAGAGUUAAUUUUCUCCCCAUCCCACUGGGCAACUCUGUGGUGUUUAGAUAUCUGCCGGAUUAAAUCAUGACACCUACAGACUGUCUUUCAUUUGGUGCAGUGUAUCCAAAUGAAAGUUUGGUUUAUUUCUUUUUUCAUACACAUGCACAAAAUAAGAUCCCAUCACUAAACAUGAUGUGGGGCUCAAAUUUAGAAGUUGCUCAAAUUUUAAGCUAUGAUAAAAAAACACUUAUAACAAUGUCAUGAAAUUCUUCAGUUUGAAUAAAAGUGGAGUGAUACCACGUUUCACAUAUUCCUAGCUUUCACAUGCCUUGGAAUUUUGAAUUGACUAGGUUUUAAUGCUUUUGAUUAAAAUAAAACAGUACUCUGUCAGCUGUCAUACGAACAGUGGCAUGUUUGUCAUCCAGGUGAUGCCAUGAUUUGAGCUGGUACGCAGUGAUACAGAUAAUUUACCAAACUGAAGUUGUUGCCAUUGCUCCAUUGUGGGACAGUGCAGGUCAAACAAAAGCCUUUUUCAUGAAUGUUACUUCAAUCCUGACUUUCAUCUCUGGCCGUAACAAGAAUGCAUCUGUUUCCUGAAGUACAGCAUAACAAGCAUGUUUAAAUACUGAAAGAGAAAAAAAAGAGGGGGAUAUCAGGGAAUGUACUUUGCUUUGGAAAAGAAAAACAAUCCAGCAAGACUUGGGACUGCCUCUGCUAAAUGGCAUUAUCAGACCAGAUGACU